This 497-nucleotide ribosomal RNA is filed under the name uncultured bacterium. RNAcentral describes it as "partial 16S ribosomal RNA". It matches the Rfam family "Bacterial small subunit ribosomal RNA", at positions 28 to 507 of the family's 1533-position model. The record is from RNAcentral.
GACGAACGCUGGCGGCGUGCCUAAUACAUGCAAGUUGAGCGAUGAAGAUUGGUGCUUGCACCAAUUUGAAGAGCAGCGAACGGGUGAGUAACGCGUGGGGAAUCUGCCUUUGAGCGGGGGACAACAUUUGGAAACGAAUGCUAAUACCGCAUAAUAACUUUAAACAUAAGUUUUAAGUUUGAAAGAUGCAAUUGCAUCACUCAAAGAUGAUCCCGCGUUGUAUUAGCUAGUUGGUGAGGUAAAGGCUCACCAAGGCGAUGAUACAUAGCCGACCUGAGAGGGUGAUCGGCCACAUUGGGACUGAGACACGGCCCAAACUCCUACGGGAGGCAGCAGUAGGGAAUCCUCGGCAAUAGACGAAAGUCUGACCGAGCAACGCCGCGUGAGUGAAGAAGGUUUUCGGAUCGUAAAACUCUGUUGGUAGAGAAGAACGUUGGUGAGAGUGGAAAGCUCAUCAAGUGACGGUAACUACCCAGAAAGGGACGGCUAACUACGUG